UACGUAGGGGGGCAAGCGUUGUCCGGAUUUAUUGGGCGUAAAGAGCGUGUAGGCGGCCAGGUAGGUCAGCUGUGAAAACUCGAGGCUCAACCUCGAGACGCCGGUUGAAACCAUCUGGCUAGAGUCCGGAAGAGGAGAGUGGAAUUCCUGGUGUAGCGGUGAAAUGCGCAGAUAUCAGGAAGAACACCCGUGGCUAAGGCGGCUCUUUAGUACGGUACUGACGCUGAGACGCGAAAGCGUGGGGAGCGAACAGG
RNAcentral lists this ribosomal RNA (254 nucleotides) under uncultured bacterium. RNAcentral's name for it is "partial 16S ribosomal RNA". It matches the Rfam family "Bacterial small subunit ribosomal RNA", at positions 524 to 776 of the family's 1533-position model. The record is from RNAcentral.